CUACGGGUGGCUGCAGUGAGGAAUAUUGCACAAUGGGGGGAACCCUGAUGCAGCAACGCCGCGUGGGGGAUGACGCAUUUCGGUGUGUAAACUCCUUUUAUAUGUCAAGAAAAUGACGGUAGCAUAUGAAUAAGCGCCGGCUAACUCCGUGCCAGCAGCCGCGGUAAUACGGAGGGCGCAAGCGUUACUCGGAAUCACUGGGCGUAAAGGACGCGUAGGCGGGUUGAAAAGUCAGGUGUGAAAGCCUACAGCUUAACUGUAGAACUGCACUUGAAACUCUCAACCUAGAGUAUGGGAGGGGCAGAUGGAAUUAGUGGUGUAGGGGUAAAAUCCGUAGAUAUCACUAGGAAUACCUAAAGCGAAGGCGAUCUGCUGGAACAUUACUGACGCUAAGGCGUGAAAGCGUGGGGAGCAAACAGGAUUAGAUACCCGGGUAGUC
Molecule: ribosomal RNA, 439 nt
Filed under: uncultured bacterium
Lineage: Bacteria
Description: partial 16S ribosomal RNA
Rfam family: Bacterial small subunit ribosomal RNA
Source: RNAcentral